RNAcentral lists this ribosomal RNA (489 nucleotides) under uncultured bacterium. RNAcentral's name for it is "partial 16S ribosomal RNA". It matches the Rfam family "Bacterial small subunit ribosomal RNA", at positions 30 to 507 of the family's 1533-position model. The record is from RNAcentral.
AUUGAACGCUGGCGGCAGGCCUAACACAUGCAAGUCGAACGGUAACAGGAAGCAGCUUGCUGCUUUGCUGACGAGUGGCGGACGGGUGAGUAAUGUCUGGGAAACUGCCUGAUGGAGGGGGAUAACUACUGGAAACGGUAGCUAAUACCGCAUAACGUCGCAAGACCAAAGGGGGGGACCUUCGGGCCUCUUGCCAUCGGAUGUGCCCAGAUGGGAUUAGCUAGUAGGUAGGUAACGGCUCACCUAGGCGACGAUCCCUAGCUGGUCUGAGAGGAUGACCAGCCACACUGGAACUGAGACACGGUCCAGACUCCUACGGGAGGCAGCAGUGGGGAAUAUUGCACAAUGGGCGCAAGCCUGAUGCAGCCAUGCCGCGUGUAUGAAGAAGGCCUUCGGGUUGUAAAGUACUUUCAGCGGGGAGGAAGGGAGUAAAGUUAAUACCUUUGCUCAUUGACGUUACCCGCAGAAGAAGCACCGGCUAACUCCGUG